This 253-nucleotide ribosomal RNA is filed under the name uncultured bacterium. Its description in RNAcentral is "partial 16S ribosomal RNA". It matches the Rfam family "Bacterial small subunit ribosomal RNA", at positions 524 to 776 of the family's 1533-position model. The record is from RNAcentral.
UACGUAGGGUGCAAGCGUUGCCCGGAAUUACUGGGCGUAAAGGGCGCGUAGGCGGCCAUCUAAGUCAGACGUGAAAUCCCUCGGCUCAACCGAAGAACUGCGUCUGAUACUGGAAGGCUUGAAUCCGGGAGAGGGAUGUGGAAUUCCAGGUGUAGCGGUGAAAUGCGUAGAUAUCUGGAGGAACACCGGUGGCGAAGGCGGCAUCCUGGACCGGUAUUGACGCUGAGGCGCGAAAGCUAGGGGAGCAAACGGG